GAUUUCAAUUGAAAAAGUCAUCAACAACAAAGUUGUAUGACUCAUCAAGGUCUAUAACUUUUAUUUUUGUCAUUUCUUUUCAUCCGACAAAGUGAUAGUAACAUUGUUCACAAAAUUUACAUAUCUCUCAUUUGGUUUUAUAAACUAUAAGAGUGAUAUGUAAAUUUUGUGAACAAUAUUACUAUCACUUUGUCGGAUGAAGAAAUGACCAAAAUAAAAGUUGUAUGUCUUGAUGAGUUCUACAACUUUUAUGUUCAUGACUUUUUCAGCUAUGUUU
Molecule: non-coding RNA, 277 nt
Organism: Oryza nivara
Lineage: Eukaryota; Viridiplantae; Streptophyta; Magnoliopsida; Poales; Poaceae
Source: Rfam